GACGGGGGGUCCAAGCGUUGUUCGGAAUCAUUGGGCGUAAAGCAUGUGCAGGUGGUCUUGUAAGUUGGAUGUGAAAUCCCCGGGCUUAACUCGGGAAGUGCAUUCAAAACUACAAGACUGAGUAAGGAAGAGGGUCGUGGAAUUCCAAGGUGUAGUGGUGAAAUACGUAGAUAUCUGGAGGAACACCGGUGGCGAAGGCGGCGACCUGGUCCUAUACUGAC
RNAcentral lists this ribosomal RNA (221 nucleotides) under uncultured bacterium. RNAcentral's name for it is "partial 16S ribosomal RNA". It matches the Rfam family "Bacterial small subunit ribosomal RNA", at positions 524 to 744 of the family's 1533-position model. The record is from RNAcentral.